Long non-coding RNA from Hemicordylus capensis (graceful crag lizard), 1366 nucleotides. RefSeq lists it as uncharacterized. The record is from RefSeq and is a predicted model, not a curated record. The transcript has 4 exons. Lineage: Eukaryota; Metazoa; Chordata; Lepidosauria; Squamata; Cordylidae.
GGGGGGUGGGGCAACAUGUCCCAGCCUAAACCCUCUGCCAUUUCUGGGGAGAGCUACAGUCCGUGUGGGCGCACAAUCUGUGGAUGGGGCAAUCGUCGGCAGGGGAGAUCUUUGGAAGGCCCUGGACCAGGUGGACAAGGCACCCCAGUUUAAAGGAGGUAAAGAAGUCAGCAGAGAAAAUAAUCUCUAAACCUAGCCUCAGAAUACUCUUCUGUGAAGAAAAGCUCAACUUGGUACGUCAGCCCACAUUAGCUGGUCCUGCAAUGCAGGCUAAUAAUGUUCUGAUGGUGUAAAUGGUGGAUUGCAGGUGAAAGAAUAUUCAUGAAUUGCUCAGGCAAUAGGUAUUGCAGAAGACAGCCACAGCGAGCCAAAGUGUGAGCACAUUUCUGCGGGCACACGUCCUGCAACUACAUGAUCCUCAAGUAGAGUUACUCCACAUCAUUGCUUCAGCAUCAGCAUGGCUUCAUGGAGGGUUGAUCCUGCAGUGCAACAGAGAUAUCCCAAGCUUUAUCCCAGGCACCCAAAUCUCCCAGUGUAAUAGUGCUGGUGUAGAGAAGACAUGGAAACAAGUACGCAGGGUAUAAGAUCCCUGCGCACAAUACCAUCUGCCUCCUCCUCAUGCUCUUUCUUCCAUUCUGGCAGAGAGUUCUAUUGGAAUUCAGGUCUUUCUAAGGGCUCUCUGGACAGGUAUGCCAGCAUUUGUUUCCUUGAAAAGCUGUAUUUUUUAACCAGGACAGACUCCUCCUCCUCCAAAUGUGAGCACAAGCAGGGCAACUGCUCUUCCCACUAAAAAAAGGCUGCUGUACUCAUCUGGCCUUGGGUGGAUCCUAUAGAAAGUGGUGGUGUCACUCCAGCUUGUACUUCAGAAUGCUGUUGGCAUAACUUUCCAGAAUUGCUGGUCCUGGAGUUUCCGAAGGGUGCUUCCAAAUGUAACUAUCAAGGUUUAAUGCCUUCUAUAAUUUUAAUCUUAAUAACAGGCAUACCAAGUUUGGUGCAAAUUGGCUAGGCAGUUCACAAGUUAGCCCACUUCUACCUCAAAAGUCCAUGCAUCUGCCAUCUUGGAUUGGGGUGGAUGACAUCAUCACAAAAUAUGCCGCUGAGAUGUCCCUAUGCGGCACUACAUCUAUACCAAAUGUGGUCUAAAUUGGUCCAGGCAUUGCAAAGUUUAGGGGACGCACACAUGGACACAUACAGCAAAGUGAUCUCAUAAGACUACUUGCCACAGAAAAAGUAGGCUAAAACAUGUGAACAAGAAUAGCGAUUAAAGGAGAAAGCACAAUGUAAGAGCAGUGUGAGUACCAAUGCUAAAGGAAGACUGUGCAUAUAAUGCUGCAUAUUGUAACUUAAAAGGUGAAUAAAAAGUAAA